This is an RNA transcript of Mandrillus leucophaeus (drill), 433 nucleotides long. It is a transcript of the gene named 60S ribosomal protein L28 pseudogene, with no coding region annotated. The transcript has a single exon. The record is from RefSeq and is a predicted model, not a curated record. Lineage: Eukaryota; Metazoa; Chordata; Mammalia; Primates; Cercopithecidae.
GGCCUUCACUGCGAGAGGAGCCGCCGCCAUGUCUGCGCAUCUACAAUGGAUGGUCGUGCGGAACUGCCCCGGUUUCCUGAUCAAGAGGAAUAAGCAGACCUACAGCACGGAGCCCAAUAACUUGAAGGCCCGCAACUCCUUCCGCUACAACGGUCUGAUUCGCUGCAAGACUGUGGGCGUGGCGCCGGCAGCCAAUGGCAAGGUGUUCUGGUGGUCAUGGGUGGAGAUGCGGCCAGCGGACGCCUGCCGCCUCCUGUGUGCGGACCGUUAUCAACAAGAACGCCAGGUUCAGCAGCCUCAAACACAUGAUCUGCAAGAACAAGUACCGUCCUGACCUGCCAUGACUGCCAUCAGCAAGGCCAGCGCCAUCCUGCGCAGCCAGAAGCCUGUGAUGGUGAAGAGGACGCGGACCCGCCCCACCAAGAGCUUCUGA